AUUGUGGUUUGGGGGUCAGCACCCACCAGUGCCAGGGCACUACUGGGAGGCUGGGACCUGACCAAAGCCCAUGGUGUCUGUGGCCUGAGGACAGGGUGUCUUGGGGCCAUGAGGACAGGCCACCAAUGGCCGUUGGGUCAUAGGGCCUGAGCCCCAGUGUUUGUCCUUCCCUGGCUCCUUCUGGUUCAGUCCCAUCAGGGCUCUGGAUCCCAAGACGCAGCAUCCAAGGUUCCCUCCAGGAAUCCUGGUGGCUCGGCUUACUUUGUCAUGUUUCAUCUGAUAGCAAAAAUAUCAGAUCGGCUGCACAGAAAAAUGGCUCAAAGUGCUUAAUGACCAGAAGAAAUCUGGGAGUAGCAAGAAGGUGUGGGGCUGGGUAUGGUCACUCCUGCUGGAUGUCUAGAAGGUGAAAACCAAGGACCUAGGAAAAUACCAGAUACAGCCUUUCCACCGUCAUCCAGAGCAGGACAAACACGCCAGGUGGUGUCAGGAGCCCAGGUCUCCAGCUGGAGGGAAUGUCAACCCUGCAGUGGGAGCCCAUCAUGCAUCCUAGGCACAGAUGCUAACGUAGGCACCGCAGGAAUCCCAGUGAAUAUAUUGCCACCAUCUUGGAGCUCAGUGCCCUCAUAGUGUAACAGCACCAGCAGAUCUGCCUGUGCACAGACUUCCUGUACUACC
This 675-nucleotide long non-coding RNA is filed under the name Homo sapiens (human). Its description in RNAcentral is "family with sequence similarity 95 member B1". Lineage: Eukaryota; Metazoa; Chordata; Mammalia; Primates; Hominidae. The record is from RNAcentral.